Molecule: ribosomal RNA, 185 nt
Filed under: uncultured Acholeplasma sp.
Lineage: Bacteria; Bacillati; Mycoplasmatota; Mollicutes; Acholeplasmatales; Acholeplasmataceae
Description: partial 16S ribosomal RNA
Rfam family: Bacterial small subunit ribosomal RNA
Source: RNAcentral
GCCCCUUAUGACCUGGGCUACAAACGUGAUACAAUGGCUGAAACAAAGGGCAGCGAAGGAGCGAUCUGGAGCGAAACCCAAAAAGCAGUCUCAGUUCGGAUUGAAGUCUGCAACUCGACUUCAUGAAGUCGGAAUCGCUAGUAAUCGCGGAUCAGAACGCCGCGGUGAAUACGUUCUCGGGGUCU